Long non-coding RNA from Bactrocera latifrons, 425 nucleotides. RefSeq lists it as uncharacterized. The transcript is spliced from 3 exons. The record is from RefSeq and is a predicted model, not a curated record. NCBI's taxonomy places the organism in Eukaryota, Metazoa, Arthropoda, Insecta, Diptera, Tephritidae.
AAUGAUUUGAACAUGUGGUGGAACGCAAGCGAGUAUGGCGGUGUUGGGAUAAUCUUUGGAAACCGGGUAUGCUCAUGUAUAAGUGGUGAAUAGGCUACCAAUAACAACAGGCUGACGAAGAAGUUGAUCGUAAAAUUCACGGUAACUUCUUAACUUAGAUAUGUGACCACAUCACAUGCCUGAUGACAACCUCAUAGCCUCAAACGCUCAGAGGUUUCGAAUGUUUAUGUGACCGUUAUAAAGGAAAGGAUAGCAAGGAUAUCACAAUGGCAGCAACCUGAUUGACAUCUUUCGGCACAAUAGCAAAAAACGCUAUUCGGGCUUUGGCAUCUGGCCACAGUUGAGGAUAGACAAGCUAAUAUAUGGUGCCUGCUUCUGUUAAAAAAAGAACUUUAAUUUCGGAGUCCAUAUCACUGAAAACCUGC